GGGCCCGUGGCCUAGCUAGGACAAGGCGUCGGCCUUCUAAGCCGGAGAUCCCGGGUUCAACUCCCGGCGGGCCCGCCA
This 78-nucleotide transfer RNA is filed under the name Candidatus Bathyarchaeota archaeon. Its description in RNAcentral is "tRNA-Arg". It matches the Rfam family "tRNA". Rfam says of the family: Transfer RNA (tRNA) molecules are approximately 80 nucleotides in length. Their secondary structure includes four short double-helical elements and three loops (D, anti-codon, and T loops). Lineage: Archaea; Thermoproteati; Candidatus Bathyarchaeota. The record is from RNAcentral.